Long non-coding RNA from Lates calcarifer (barramundi perch), 1267 nucleotides. RefSeq lists it as uncharacterized. The record is from RefSeq and is a predicted model, not a curated record. The transcript is spliced from 4 exons. Lineage: Eukaryota; Metazoa; Chordata; Actinopteri; Centropomidae.
GAGUCAAAUUCAAAACCGCUGCCGUCACUCCAGAGCCAGAUACCCUCCUAGAAGACGAGAGAACAGAACAGAUGUUCUAGACCUGCGCUGCUUUGAUACAUGAUCAGUAUCAGGACGAACUACAGCUGGACAUAAGUGAAAGACAAACAGACGUGUGUUUCUUCGGUGACCGGAUGAGCCAGGUCCGCCCACCUCCUUCAGACUUUCACCGUUCGGCAAGGACUUCAGAAACUGAUUAACAGAACCUCCAGGAUGCUUCAUGUGAAAGACAGACAGGCCUUUAACUUUCAGUUUGGUGUCUUCACUGGUUUUGCCUGCUGUCAUCCUGAUCCCCUCAUGCAGAGGACAGUCGCAGGUGAUUUGUUCACCUCAGCCAAUCAUAGCCCUGGCUAGUGAUGAUGUUGUGUUUUCAUGUCACCUUGAACCUCCUAUCAGUGCCGGUUCCAGGACAGCGGAGUGGACCAGACCUGGUUUGGACCCAGAGUACAUCCAUGUCCACCAAGAUGGACGACUGUUGCAUGAUGUUUGAGCUGUUUAAGAGACACAACAUCUGCACAAUGUGACAGCAGACCUGCUCCACUGCGCCCCCUUCUGGUCUUUAUCCACACAUUACAGGUUCAUGUGCACAAGGGGCUCAAAGGUUAGUUGUAGUAAAAUAUGCAGGGCUGCAUGUUGUGAUAAAUAUGACAGGAAAAAUGGGAGCUCACAUUCAGGCUGAUUUAAUUUUACAGAAAAAUCUCUUGCAGAUGUAUAAAAACACUCUGCUUCUGCAGUGUUGGAUAAAGAAUCUGUGAAUAUUUAGAUAUUGCUCAUUUGCAGAGGUUUAACUGCUGGGCACCAGAUGAAGGUUUCAAGUUUUCUACAUCUCAUUUGUGUGGGUGACAUGUUGACCACAACUGGUCCAAAAUCAUGUUUUUAUGUACAUAAAUUAUAAAUCAAAGUUCAGGAUCACAUUUUUAAAAAAGACUCUGAGACCAGUUUGUUUCAGUACUCCAGUUUUUAAUAAGAUUGUUGCUCAAAGCGUUCUCUUCAUUACACAUUCAGUCUUCUCAGAGAGGAGCUCCAGCUCCCGUUCACGUCACUUGUCGCUUCGUCCCUUCAGUAGCGUUACAGCAGAGAAUCAAAGAUGUGAUUACACAUGAGACCGAUUACACAAAGACUCUCUCAUCCAACCAUGUUUGUGUGUUUGGUAGGUACAUGACACUCGGCUCAGGAGCUUUGAGGGACGCUGGCACAGACUGAUGGGAGGACAGUUGAACACGGGAAG